AGUCCUUCGCCGUCCCUCGCCGUCCUUCGCCAUCGCACGCCACCGCACCCCAUCUCUCGAAAUCUGCAGACAUCUUGAUUUUUCCCACGCUGUCUGUCAGGUCUCCGCCGCCACUCGACGCCAGGGCGCCGGGCCUUGUGGGCUGUGCUGCACCUCGGACGGCUUCGCACCAGCCAGCGCCCUCUCUCUCCUGCAGCACUCUGAUCUGCACCCCCUGAGGGGCUUCCACUGUCCGCGGGGUGAGAAUGCCCCUGGGAGUGUCACAUGACUGCCGCCCCAUGUGUGUGAGAGGCGUCCUCUGGGAGAGCAUGGAUCCUGAGGUCCCAGGAUUGUCAGCUGACCUCUGUCCUGUGUGCCCAGUGGCCCCAGGUGACGUGUCUUCAAGAAGAGGCUGAGCUGCGGUGCUUGUAAGGCAGGGUCUCAUUCUGUCACCCAGGCUGGAGUGCAGUGGUGCAAUGAUGGCUCACUGCAGCCUCGACCUGGGCUCAAGUGAUCCUCCACCUCAGCUUCCUGAGUAGCUGGGACCACAGAGUCAUGUGCUGUUCCUGGGGCUUGGAUGAUGUAGGGGAAGCAAGGUGAAAGUGGUAUCCCGUGGUUCCACGUUCUGUCCUGCUGUGGGGCUGUCCCUCACAUGCUUUCAGUGGCUGUUGCAGAGGAAGAGCCUCCGGAAAUCUGCGUGGGUAAAGUCUCAGCCUUAGAUCCAAGGACAGUCCAAGGAAGUCCUAAGACCAUGGAGUUGGUGAUCUGGGAUCUGGGUUUGCUGAUAUUUCUCACCGUGAAUCUCUUGGUGGUGUUUGUGGGCACGAGAGGGGCAGAGAAUGGAGAGUGAGGCUACCACAUGAAGCGUCACCAGAGCUGCUCCCUGCUGCCUGCUCAGAGCACCCCGGAUCCACUGUUCAAUCUGCACAAGAUUCGGGGUCCAGACAUGGGAGACUUCAGCUGCCUCAGAGGACCGUGGACAGGGAAGGCCAGCCUCGCAUCCCUCUGUCCAUGCCUGGAAUGACUUUAAUAACCAAGAGUUUUAUUUUUGAAUUUGUAGCUGUCGUUCACUUUUUACCCACCCAUUCAAUAAACCUUACAGAAUUGCUCCA
RNAcentral lists this long non-coding RNA (1091 nucleotides) under Homo sapiens (human). RNAcentral describes it as "small nucleolar RNA host gene 17, transcript variant 53 (SNHG17)". Lineage: Eukaryota; Metazoa; Chordata; Mammalia; Primates; Hominidae. The record is from RNAcentral.